This is a long non-coding RNA of Bombus pyrosoma, 1162 nucleotides long. RefSeq lists it as uncharacterized. The record is from RefSeq and is a predicted model, not a curated record. Lineage: Eukaryota; Metazoa; Arthropoda; Insecta; Hymenoptera; Apidae. The transcript is spliced from 3 exons.
UAAAACAAAUAGAUAUAUAACCAUCGUAUCAAGAUACAUUAUGUUUAUUUCUCAAAAAAAACUUACGCGGUGAUUAUACAUCAAUAGAGACAAUUUUUUGCAACGUACUAGAUAAACGAGUGUAAGAAAUUAUCAUUUCAUUAGUCUAAUUCUUCGAUAAAAAAGCAGUUCAAAUAAGAGAGGAAACACGCGUAAAUCUCUCAAAGUGAGGUGAAAUCCAGUGAGAUCGUGCUUUCAAGUUAUCUUAGAAGGGACAGAGAAAGGAAAAUUCGUUACCCCAUUACCAACAAUUGCCUCUGGCCCUAUUUUUGUUAAAAGUACAUUCGGCUUACUUGUAUUUUAUAUUCAGUUUUGAAGGUUAUAUUCAAGUUUAAAGUUUUAAUCGUUUAAUUAUACUUCCAGUAACAAAAUAUUUCAGAAGCAGUCAGUCACUAUAACCGGUCGUUGGUAUGAGAAUGAUUUUAUCAUGCGAGAAGAACGUUGCGAAGGAAAAUGUACAUGUUAGGAUUCUCGAGGAGGACAGGCGGGUCGUUUGGGAAGGAUUCGGUGACUUCUAACCGGCUCGUGUAUGCGAACGAAUAAGUACGAUGUUCAACGUUUGCGUAGAAUACCACUCAUUUUAUAUAUUCUACGUCUUCCGUCAGUUAAUUUAAUGAUAUAAUUUAUGUUGGGAGCAGCAAUUGCAUUCAAAACACCAACAUAUUACAUGCAGAAAGUAGAUCAACGGGUGCAAUGCACGUACAGCUAAAAAAAUCGCCGGAUGAUGCGACGAGCGAACCAUUAUCUUUUCAGAUGUUUCUUCUCAAUGCACGUUCCGCCACAACCACUUCACGUCGAGCAUGGACUCCCACAAAAGAUCAAGAAGCAAUCUUGCCGUAGCCUUCUAGUAUACAACGGGGAAGGAUUUGGGGUUCACUCGCUAUAUCAGUUAUUUUACAGUCGUCAAAUGACCGCCGCAGGGAGACUUGUUCAGGCAUCACCCCCCUCCCCCCAGUGGAUACUAGGGGGUCCGAAAUUUCCUGCAUCGCAACGUUCUUCUCUCUGUUUGCACUUUCUAUGAUUUUUAUAUAAAAAGAUGGGAGGAUCCGCACAGAGAUGUGGUGAGUGAACCGUUGGACUAAAGAGGGGCUGUCAACUUUACCAAGUCGCCCACCUAGGACAG